Nicotiana tabacum (common tobacco) is the source of this 641-nucleotide non-coding RNA. Lineage: Eukaryota; Viridiplantae; Streptophyta; Magnoliopsida; Solanales; Solanaceae. The record is from RefSeq and is a predicted model, not a curated record.
UCCUUUCUUUAAGUUUGAAUCCUUCGAGAGUAAAACCUCAAUUUAUUCAACGAACUGAAGCUUGAAAAAUUCGUUCAAAGCAUUUCAACAAGCUAAAACUUGAUUCGUCCAAAUAAUUCAAGGAACAGAAAUGUAAUUCCAACAAAAAUUUUGCAGUUAUAAAAGAGUACGGUGCAAUCUUCGCUAAGAAUAUUAUACGGAGUUUUCCUUACCCCAGUCAUGCAUAUUCAUUUACCACCGAGCUACGGUCGGUCGGGAAGCCAUGUAUUUACCACCGAGCUACGGCCGAUCACGGCAGUUACCACAGGUUGGGCAGUUAUAUAUUAUUAUUUACCACCGGUUGGGCAGUGCAUUUACCAUCGAGCUACAACCGGUCGGGCAGUUACCACUGAUCAGUUGGGCAGUUAACGUCACAAAAAUGAGGAUCAUGUUUAGGCCGACCACGCCUGGGUAGGCAAUCUUAAGGUCUUUUUCUAUUUGUUUGUUUUUGGUUUCGAGGUGAGAGGUCGCUCCCUUUAUUUUAUAUUCAGGGGAAUGCCCCGUAGAUCUUGUAUAUAUUUUUAUCCGGGGUAUGCCCCGAAGUAUUUGUAUUUGGAGGCCGAAAGUAGAACUCGUAGUAUUCUAAUUUUAUUUUCAUUUUU